CCAUACCAGCCGGGGGAGUAGCGGCCCUCUGUACUCACAAUCCGCUGCAGUGAGGGUGGAUUCCCGGUCUGAGAGCAUCGGCGGUGCGGUCUGCGCCGUAUUUGACCGCGUUGAAGGAUGGGUCCUGCGCAAUCAAUGGCUGUGAACCAUGUCAGGUGGGGAACCAAGCAGCAUUAAGCAGUAUGUUUGAUGUGCCGCGGGGAUGCCUGUCCCGAGCGGGAGGUGCGGUUAACGCGUAUUUACGGUCGCUCGAUUUUCGGGUGUAUGG
RNAcentral lists this signal recognition particle RNA (268 nucleotides) under Eubacteriales bacterium. RNAcentral's name for it is "signal recognition particle sRNA large type". It matches the Rfam family "Bacterial large signal recognition particle RNA". From Rfam's summary of the family: The signal recognition particle (SRP) is a universally conserved ribonucleoprotein involved in the co-translational targeting of proteins to membranes. Lineage: Bacteria; Bacillati; Bacillota; Clostridia; Eubacteriales. The record is from RNAcentral.